RNAcentral lists this ribosomal RNA (253 nucleotides) under uncultured bacterium. RNAcentral's name for it is "partial 16S ribosomal RNA". It matches the Rfam family "Bacterial small subunit ribosomal RNA", at positions 524 to 776 of the family's 1533-position model. The record is from RNAcentral.
UACGGAGGGUGCGAGCGUUGUCCGGAAUCAUUGGGCGUAAAGGGCGCGUAGGUGGCCUGCUAAGCGUGCGGUGAAAGUCGGGGGCUCAACCCCCGAUCGGCCGUGCGAACUGUCGAGCUGGAGCACUGUAGAGGCAGGUGGAAUUCCGGGUGUAGCGGUGGAAUGCGUAGAGAUCCGGAAGAACACCGGUGGCGAAGGCGGCCUGCUGGGCAGUGGCUGACGCUGAGGCGCGACAGCGUGGGGAGCAAACAGG